AGGAUUAUAAGAAAUGAAUAGUGAGAGUCAAGCUUCUACCGAUAGUAGCGGUAGUGGUACAGGAGGUAGUGCUAGUGGUAGUUUAAGUAGUAUUAAUAAUAAUACUCCAUUAUGGAAGUAUGUAAAAAAGGUGGAAAAGUUAGAGGAUGGUGGAGGAAACAUGAGGUUCGAAUGCAAUUUUUGCAAACAAGUUUAUAAUGGAUCAUAUUAUACGG
Molecule: long non-coding RNA, 215 nt
Filed under: Ananas comosus (pineapple)
Lineage: Eukaryota; Viridiplantae; Streptophyta; Magnoliopsida; Poales; Bromeliaceae
Description: long non-coding RNA (ACOM_LNC009962)
Source: RNAcentral